This 443-nucleotide ribosomal RNA is filed under the name uncultured bacterium. RNAcentral describes it as "partial 16S ribosomal RNA". It matches the Rfam family "Bacterial small subunit ribosomal RNA", at positions 338 to 795 of the family's 1533-position model. The record is from RNAcentral.
CCUACGGGUGGCAGCAGUGGAGAAUCUUUGGCAAUGGGCGCAAGCCUGACCCAGCAACGCCGCGUGAAGGAAGGAAGCUUUCGGGUUGUAAACUUCUUUUCUCAGGGACGAAACAAGUGACGGUACCUGAGGAAUAAGCCACGGCUAACUACGUGCCAGCAGCCGCGGUAAUAAGUCGGUGGCAAGCGUUAUCCGGAUUUACUGGGGGUAAAGGGCGUGUAGGCGGGACUGCAAGUCAGAUGUGAAAACCACGGGCUCAACCUGUGGCCUGCAUUUGAAACUGUAGUUCUUGAGGACUGGAGAGGCAGACGAAAUUCCUAGGGGAGCGGGGAAAUGGGGAGAUAUUAGGAGGAAAAACAGUGGCGAAGGCGGUCUGCCGGACAGCAACCGACGCUGAGGCGAGAAAGGGUGGGGAGCAAACAGGAUUAGAUAACCGAGUAGUC